RNAcentral lists this ribosomal RNA (395 nucleotides) under uncultured bacterium. RNAcentral describes it as "bacterial SSU rRNA". It matches the Rfam family "Bacterial small subunit ribosomal RNA", at positions 28 to 424 of the family's 1533-position model. The record is from RNAcentral.
GACGAACGCUGGCGGCGUGCUUAACACAUGCAAGUCGAGCGGUAAGGCCCUUUCGGGGGUACACGAGCGGCGAACGGGUGAGUAACACGUGGGUGACCUGCCCUUAGCUCUGGGAUAAGCCUGGGAAACUGGGUCUAAUACCGGAUAUGACUCCAUGACGCAUGUUGUGGGGUGGAAAGCCUUGUGCGGCUAGGGAUGGGCCCGCGGCCUAUCAGCUUGUUGGUGGGGUGAUGGCCUACCAAGGCGGCGACGGGUAGCCGGCCUGAGAGGGCGACCGGCCACACUGGGACUGAGACACGGCCCCAGACUCCUACGGGAGGGCAGCAGUGGGGAAUCUUGCGCAAUGGGCGAAAGCCUGACGCAGCGACGCCGCGUGAGGGAUGACGGCCUCGGUU